GAUGAAGAUCGCAGCGAAAUGCGAUAAGUAAUGCGAAUUGCAGAAUUCCAGUGAAUCAUCGAAUCUUUGAACGCACAUUGCGCCCGCCAGUAUUCUGGCGGGCAUGCCUGUUCGAGCGUCAUUUCAACCCUCAAGCCCCCGGGCUUGGUGUUGGGGAUCGGCGUGCCCUCGCGGCGCGCCGUCCCCUAAAUCUAGUGGCGGUCUCGCUGUAGCUUCCUCUGCGUAGUAGCAACACUCGCACUGGAUCGCAGCGCGGCCACGCCGUUAAACCCCCCACUUCUGAAAGUUUGACCUCGGAUCAGGUAGGAAUACCCGCUGAACUUAAGCAUAUCAAUAAGCGGAGGA
Molecule: unclassified non-coding RNA, 345 nt
Filed under: soil metagenome
Description: partial contains 5.8S ribosomal RNA, internal transcribed spacer 2, and large subunit ribosomal RNA
Rfam family: 5.8S ribosomal RNA (bases 1-121)
Source: RNAcentral